GAUGAACGCUGGCGGCGUGCCUAAUACAUGCAAGUCGAGCGAACAGACGAGGAGCUUGCUCCUCUGACGUUAGCGGCGGACGGGUAAGUAACACGUGGAUAACCUACCUAUAAGACUGGGAUAACUUCGGGAAACCGGAGCUAAUACCGGAUAAUAUAUUGAACCGCAUGGUUCAAUAGUGAAAGACGGUUUUGCUGUCACUUAUAGAUGGAUCCGCGCCGCAUUAGCUAGUUGGUAAGGUAACGGCUUACCAAGGCGACGAUGCGUAGCCGACCUGAGAGGGUGAUCGGCCACACUGGAACUGAGACACGGUCCAGACUCCUACGGGAGGCAGCAGUAGGGAAUCUUCCGCAAUGGGCGAAAGCUUGACGGAGCAACGCCGCGUGAGUGAUGAAGGUCUUCGGAUCGUAAAACUCUGUUAUUAGGGAAGAACAAAUGUGUAAGUAACUAUGCACGUCUUGACGGUACCUAAUCAGAAAGCCACGGCUAACUACGUG
Molecule: ribosomal RNA, 497 nt
Filed under: uncultured bacterium
Lineage: Bacteria
Description: partial 16S ribosomal RNA
Rfam family: Bacterial small subunit ribosomal RNA
Source: RNAcentral